AGACUGCAGCCAGUUUAUAUCCUGAGAGAAGAGCAGUAUGCUUUGAUGAAUGCGUCAACAAGGUUCCAGUUAUCUACACUUACAGAAAGGUGUGCACGGAAGGAAACCUGCUGUGAACUUUUAAUGCAGCCGAGUGAGUAUAACUCCCUAAAGGAAAAGAACGUGACUAGAGAGAAAUCCUUGGGAGGAAAGAAAAAUUGCUUACCUGAUAAGGGCCUGGGGAGGCCUUGGAACCUCUCCCUUUUACCCAAAAUUGACUUGCAGAGAGCCCUGAGACGGAGCUAAUUAUCCUAGUUCAGUUUAAUUAAGUUUUUAACUCAAAGUUUUAAGGUACUGAGACCCUGAAAGAAGACAUUUAUAUAUAUAUAUUUUAAAAUCCUUUUUAAGCAUCUUGAUUAUUACCAGGGGAGCACCAGAGCCUCUGCGGUAAUCACUUUGCAGCAACUGAAGAAGUAAACUCACCCCUGCUCCUCCACCACGUUGUCUCUCUUCUCUUUUACAAUUACCUUUUAUCUAUUUAUCUCAGUCAAUGCAUUGUAGCGUGUUUAUUACAACAAUAAAGAAAUAAUUUACAACUUUAAAGAAACAAUGGUGACGACCAGGAGUGGCUGCAAAACCUCAGGCUUUUCUCUGAAGGCUGUAAGACCCACCUUUAAAAGAGCCACUCUAAAGAAAGCACAAACAAAAAUCACUCGCUUCUACAUGAACAGAGCAAAAUGUGGAGCAAAUGAGGAAACGACUGAAAUGAAUGAGAACAAGAACAAGAAGGGAAGGGAAAUUCUACUCUCUCCUACCAAUCCCUCUUACAGCUAUAGUGAAGGACCGGUUAUGCAAAGAAAGGAGUGUACUAAAAGCAGUGAUAGAAGCCUGAAUAUAUUGGAAGCAACACAAAAUAUCUUCGAUACAGCCGAUGAAGCAUCCCCGAAACUGAAAACCAAAUCCCAAGUUCCUCUCGAACCAUCGUUAGAUCAAAAAAUGGAGGAACUAAUGUUAAAACAAAUUUCGGAAUUGGCCUCGGGAAAAAUUAAACCUUCGAAAGACUCUUAUUCUCAUUCCCACGAGACAAAUGAAGAGGAUCUCUCAAUCAUCAAAUGGCUAGUGCUCCUUACUGAGGACAUUGAAUCUAUAAAGUCCUACUUGGACAUUUGCACAAAAAUUCUUACCAUCAUGGCUGACUCCUGUAAAACUCUCUGGAGAAAACCCGGAAUGCCUGCAGAAUUGGAAAGUAAUCAUGGCCUCGCCUCCACCCUUUGUAGGAGUGGCUCAUCAAGGAAGGGUAAGAAAGCCUGCAGAGCUAAUGCUUGUAAAAGGAGAUUCACAGUUGUAAAAAAUGUUAAAAAAAGUAAAAACAUAAAAAUCUUAAGACAGUGUAUUAUAAAAAUGGUUUUUAAAAGCUUUUAACCUACUCGAGAGCACAACAGCCUCUGGGUCUAGAGGGAACCCGGUGAAGUCUUUAGCCAAGAAGCCAGUUAAACAGGAUUUGCCCCCAAACGUCUGUGCUGAUAAAGCUCCGGAUUGUCUAAAACCUUCAGCGCUUGCUCCACCACCAAGCUCUAAGCAAGAUUUAUUGCCCCAAGAUCCAUGGUCCUACGUUUUAACCAUAGAUAACUCCAAAUCCAAUAAGGAGAGCAUUCCAACAAAUAAGAACUGGAAGCUGGUGUUGCUUCAAAACAAAUUUGUUUUUUCUAGCUAUUCUAAGCCUCCAGGAUUUUUAUCUCAAGAGGAUCGCAAAGUCCAUCUAUUGAACUUCCUUAAGGCAUACAUGCCAGGUACUUUGAGUAAUCCCUCGGAGUUGGACCAAGUGGAAUAUCUAUAUUUUGAUGGCUUGCUUGCCAGGGCGGUGGCUACAUUCCAUGAUCGGAGAUUGGCAAAACUGAUAUAUAAACACAGAGAAAACCUAAAGACAAGUGGUGUAAAAAUAUCAAGGUUCUUUAAAAAUGAGGCCUCUCCUAUCCCACUAGUCCCCAGUUCUGCAACUUCGACUGCAGCACCUCAUCAAAAGGCUGAAUACCACACUCUAAUUGAUAUAAAAGCCACUGAGGACUCGCCUAAUCACCACCCAGAGUUACUUACUAAUGAUCCUCAAAGACCAGACUCUCCCGGGACUUUAUAUGAGGCGAGCCAAGGUAACGGGUUCGAAAGUUUUGAAAAUAACUUAAUUUACUCCUAUUGCGCCCUCCCUCAAGAAACUCAGAACAAAAUACUUUAUAGACUGAAUAACCUUCGUUCUUGUCUGACAAAUCUGACGAAGGACCAAUCGGGACCACACAACCAAAAUAUAUCUGAUUAUGUCCCAGAUCAGGCUUCAUGCUUCUAUCGUCAUGAGCUGGAUUUAUGGGUCGGGAAACCCUCCGUUACCCCAGGCCAAUUGGUUACUGCGGAGAUGAAUCCAUCCUCUCAGAUCUUGGAGCCGAAACGCCCUCCUAUAAUCCAGCUCGCAUGCAAUCCAUCCCAGAGGCAAACCUGGUCACUACAUUAGCAUGGGAUAAAAUGAGAGAAUUAGAUGAGACUGAAUUGGGCUCCCCAAAUAAAGUGCCCAGCAUGGGUGCACCAGGUUGCAACCCUAGCAUUCCACCCUCCUCAAAUGUGAGCAUACUGAAUACAUCUUUAAACAUCAUUGAAUUAGCAUCUGAACUAUCUGAACCCGCUGAAAGGGCUACUAGUAAGAACCAGAGAAUCUUGGUGUGACAUACGGAAUGCACCACGCAUACCUCACCAGCACCCUCAAAUCAAAGAUCUCUCCAAACUCUUUCUAUUAUGUCCUGGAAUGUAGCUGGACUCUCAUGUAAAUUAGCUGAUUCUGAUUUUAUAAAUUUUCUUGAGUCUUGUGAUAUAAUACUUUUGCAGGAAACCUGGUCUCUUAAACCUUUAAAUAUCCCUAAUUUUAUUACUUAUAAUUUACCCGCUACUAAAAUGUCAACAAAAGGUCGCCCUAAAGCCGGUUUGAUCUGUGGUAUUAAACAGUCUUCUAACCUGUGGUAUUAAACAGUCUUCUAACCUGUGGUAUUAAACAGUCUUCUAGCAGUAAACUACCAAAAAACAAAAAUCAUGGUUUUCUCUAACAAAAGGAAAAUAUACAGAUGGAAUUUAGACAAUCAGGAGAUUGAACAAGUGACAUGCUUUAAAUAUCUAGGAGUGAUAUUCCAAGCAUCAAGGAAGAAGACUGCCCACAUAAACUACAGCUCCUUUACAGCACAAAAAAGUACAACAGCAAUCCUAAGAUUCCAUCGUACAACGGGAGGAAAUUUCAUUCCUGCUACAAUUAAACUAUUCGUUGCAAAACCAACAGCACAAAUCCUAUACGGCGCACCACUCGUCUCCCUCUCUAAUCUAGACCCAUAUGAGAAGAUACAAUCAGGCUUCCUUAGAUCACUCCUGCAAACACCUAAAUGCGUCCCAAACGCCGCCUUACGACUGGAAACGGGCUUAUACAGCAUUAAAGCCAAAGUAUGGAUAAGAACUUUAUGCACUUGGCUAAGACUUAACAACUCGCCGGUUGGACUACUUUCCCUGAUGCUUCUUGACAAAUUCCAAUCUAGCUGGUUGAAGGGCAUUCUCAGAAAACUGGCCACAUAUGGUCUCUCCCCAGAGUAUUUAUUAAGUUUAGAAAGGGGAAGGGCCAAGAACAUAAUCAAAGAAGGACUCAGGGACAUUGAAACCCAAAAUGACUUUAACCAACUUCCGAUAACCUAUAAACUUCUAUACAAUUCCCAAAGGCCCCAUCUAGCAAACUAUCUCAAAGUUCUAGACAACGCUAAACACCGAUGGGCAUUUUCCAGGGCCCGCUUUAACGCUCUCCCUUCAGCUCUUCUAGAGGGAAGAUACAAUAAAAUACCGAUCGAACAAAGAUUAUGCCCCUGUAACAGCAAUGAAAUCGAAACCAUUGGGCAUGUUAUCUUAUACUGCCCAUUAUAUCGAGACUCAAGAAAAGAGCUGAUCGAACCGAUUCUGAGGAAAAUACCUCGUAGUACAGAUGACACCUAUAUCAGACACCUCCUAGCUGACAAAGAGCCCGAAAUUAACAGGUCCGUGGCAAAGUACUGUUACAUUGCAACAAGAAUAAGACGAGCAAUGAUGUCUACAAAGGAGUUCAAACUGUAAACAUCGAAGGAACGAUAAUAAACAGUAGCGACUCCUGAAUCGAAUUUUAAAAACUUAAAAUUCGAAACCUGGUCAUAAAUAUAAGCACCAAUUCUGUGAAUUGGCCAUACUUUUACUGUUACUUGUAGCACAAUACUACUCUUAAUGUCAUACUUUAUAAAUUGCUUCCUGGUCAUUGACCGUAUUAAAGAUAUUUGAUUUUUGAUUUUUUUUUUAUUUGAACCUUAAAAUUAAUUAUAUCAGAAAUAUUGGACAGUAUGCACAAUUGUUAUCAUUUACCAUUGUUUACAGGGAAAUUCUUCUUUUAAAUAUAUAUUUUCCUCCCAUAGAGUUGGAAAUUAGACCAGAUUAUGGUUGGAAUAUAGUCUCUGAAGAGCUGUAUUUAAUACGUAGUAAAUCUCCAAAUAUUCCCCUGAUUGUAAUGGGAGACACCAAUGCUCGAAUUGGAUCAGAUAAUAUAGCUCUCUAUAAACGCUAUGUCUCAAAUCUAGCUGAAGAUGCCCCACUUCCAUUGAGAAUAGGGAGGAAUUCAAAGGACAUCAUUAUUAAUAAAGCGGGAGGAAAACUUUUACAAUUGGUUUUAGAAUUUAACCUCUCAUUUUUGAAUGGCUCAAUGUGGCCGGAUAUUCCGGGAAAUUUUACCUUCAGCUCCAAAAGGGGUAGGAGCGUAAUUGACUAUGCUCUAGUUUCCGUUGAAAUGUUAAAUGAAGUUGCCUCUUUUACAGUUGUACCUCGCUCAGAGAGUGACCAUUUCCCAAUAGUUUUAGAGAUGUACAGGAAUCCUAGAAAUAAUGAUAUUAGUCCUCUUAUUAGUAUUGAUAACCCUAUUUAUGCCAAAAGAAUUUAUAUAAGUGAUAAAAAUAGGGAGGAUUUAUUGGCUGUAUUUGAAAAUAACCCAGUUAUUCUUGAACCUGUGGCUAACCAAAAUUUGAUGCCCUUGGAGGACAAUGAUUGUUAUAAGACUAUCCAGGAAUUAUUUUCUUCUUUUUUAGACCCUCAGUUCAGCAACAAACCUUUAAAUAAGUAUAACUGGUUUGAUAAAGAUUGUAUUAACUAUAAGAAAGAACUUAGAAUUUGUCUAAAAGAAGCCUAUACUACCAACUCUCAAGGUCUCUGGAAGACUUAUUUUGAAAUGAAAAAUGCUUUUAAGAACAUGCUCCUGGAAAAAAAAUCUGAGUUUGCACUAGCCAAAUGGUCUAAAAUUGUUACUGCAUUAGAAAUCAAAGAUACCAAAACUUUUUGGUCACUUCUCUCAAUAAAAGAUAUCACUGAUUUCCCUAAUAUAAGCGAUGAGGCUUGGAUUUCACAUUUUACUGAUGUUUUUUAUGAUCACCAAGUUUGUAAAAGGAAAAUUUUAAAUUUUCUUUGGCAAAAACCACACAAUUUCAAAUUACUGUUGAGGAGAUGAAAAGGAUAAUUUUUUUUGUUUAAGCAAGGGAAAUCACCUGGUAUGGAUGGCAUUCCAAUAGACCUGUUGAGAUUAGAUGUAGAAUGGUGGGCCAUUAAACUUGUGCCGCUUUUUAAUUCUAUCUAUCACUCAGCCCUUGUACCUAAGUCGUGGAACAACUCAAUAGUGGUACCGAUCUUUAAAAAAGGUGAUAGGAAUUGUCAAGAGAAUUACAGGCCUAUAAGUCUGUUACCAUGCAUAAGUAAAAUCUAUGCCAAAUCUCUGCUUAUUAAAUUGGAAGAAUGGAUGCUGACAAAAGGUCUACCUGGUAAAGAGCAGGCUGGUUUUAAGGCAGGCGCGUCAACUCUUGACCAGUGUCUAGUGUUAAGUCAUCUUGUGGAUAAAUAUGUCAUAAGAAAUAAACGAAAACUCUUUGUGGCAUUUGUGGAUUUAAAAAAGUGCCUUUGAUUCGGUCGACCGUAACAAACUAUGGACUAAACUAGAACACCUUGGUAUCGACCCAUAUCUACUUACACUGAUUCAAAGUUUACAUUCUAAUAACCAAAUAUAUGUUAAAGUAUCAAAAGAUGGUAGACUUGCAGGUCCUAUUCUGAAUAAUCGAGGAGUUAGGCAAGGCUGUAUCUUGGCCCCUACCUUAUUUAAUUUAUUUUUAUCUGACCUACCAUUAUUUCUUCAAAACGCAACCACUCAUACUCCUUAUUUAAACAAUAGCCCACUUUUUUAUUACUUUAUGCAGAUAAUGCUGUAAUUAUUUCACUCUCUGUUUUGGGUUUAAAAAAUUAUUUAAGAGUUUCUCAAACUACUGCUCUCUCAAUAAUCUCAAAAUUAAUUAUGAUAAGACAAAGAUUAUGCAAUUUGGAAAGAGAGGGAACCCAAAAGGCUGUAUAAUUAAUGGACAUUUAAUACAGGAAGUUAAGCACUUCAAUUAUCUGGGAAUCACAUUUAAAAAUAAUAUGAAUUGGAAUACACAUAUAUGUGCUGCAAUAGUUAAGGCCAAAGUGACAGCCCACCAUAUUAAAUCCUACUUUUUUUCUCCAGUAGGAAACAGAUUUAUUCCAGCUGUAUUGCAAGUGAUUGACAUGAAACUUUGUGCCCAACUUCUAUACGGCACACCAGUGUGGAUUUCAGGUGACCUCAAGAGGUUGGAUAAAUUCCACGCAUCCCUUCUGAGGUCAUUAUUAGGACUUGCAAACUCUGUAAAAUAUGAAACAAUAUGUUGUGAGCUGGGAAUAUUGCCUUUAUCAGUAAGAGCAUGGUUGAGGACCUUGAAAUAUUGGAUCUUCCUCCAUUAUAGAACCCUAUCCCCUAAUUCUCUACUUUACGAUCUUUUAAGUGAUAGUGCAAUCUACAAUCUAUCAUUGAUUUGCAGGAGAAAACUGGAUUCGAUAGGGCUCACUCUAAUUGACUUUGAAAUCUCUGAUCCCAAAGACAUAUGGGAAAUUAUCAGGAAGACUCUUACAGAAAAAGUGUUCUCGCCAUGCUUGAGGCUGCAAAGCACAGCACUUGCUCUCCUAUCCACUUAAAUCUCCCUUUGUGUAGAGAUUUCCAAAGGGAUACAUGGCAAAUCUGAAGAAACAUGAAUUGUGUAGGCUGUUUAUGUUGGCCAGAUUCAACAUGUUUCCUCGGUGGUAGUGAGAGGAAGAUACUUAGCUAUCCCAGAAUCAGAGCGUCUCUGCAAAUGCAGAAAACAGGAACCCGAUACUCUAGAGCAUAUAUUCUUUUCCUGUGAUUUUGGUAGUUAUGCCAGAAAACAAUUAUUUGAGGCCCUAAAAGUUAAUAGACAGAUUUUUACACAACCAACUGUUCAGGACCUGCUGGCGGACAGCGAUGAUCAAAUUACUUUAAUAGCGGCUGAAUUUUUAAGUGCUGUCCAUGAAGAAAGAAUGGGCCAUGAUAAAGAGACUUAGUGGUUUUUAAUGGUAGGUGAUGUUGUUGUGUUGUAUUAUAUUAUCUAUGUACAUCAAUUUAUUUCUUGGAGUUAAGAAUAGGACUGGGAUAAAUUGUGUUCGCUGAGCCCGUAUUUUAUACAGUCUGUAUAUGAUGUUUGUUUGUUAGUGUGUGGUGUGCUAUGCCUAAUAAAGGAAGAUGAUGA
RNAcentral lists this long non-coding RNA (7601 nucleotides) under Podarcis lilfordi (Lilford's wall lizard). Lineage: Eukaryota; Metazoa; Chordata; Lepidosauria; Squamata; Lacertidae. The record is from RNAcentral.